Meriones unguiculatus (Mongolian gerbil) is the source of this 133-nucleotide small nucleolar RNA. The record is from Ensembl. Lineage: Eukaryota; Metazoa; Chordata; Mammalia; Rodentia; Muridae.
CCUGUCCCUAGAGGCAUUGCAGAGGUGGCUGCCGUGUGACAAGUGUGUCAAAAGGUAGCAAGGAGGAGAGAGGCCGUGUCUACACUCAAGCGUUCUGACCUGGGAUCAUCUGAAUGGUUAGCAGCCUCACAUU